RNAcentral lists this ribosomal RNA (245 nucleotides) under uncultured Solitalea sp. RNAcentral's name for it is "partial 16S ribosomal RNA". It matches the Rfam family "Bacterial small subunit ribosomal RNA", at positions 524 to 768 of the family's 1533-position model. The record is from RNAcentral. Lineage: Bacteria; Pseudomonadati; Bacteroidota; Sphingobacteriia; Sphingobacteriales; Sphingobacteriaceae.
UACGGAGGAUCCAAGCGUUAUCCGGAUUUAUUGGGUUUAAAGGGUGCGUAGGCGGAUUAGUAAGUCAGUGGUGAAAGCCUGCAGCUUAACUGUAGAACUGCCAUUGAUACUGCUAGUCUUGAAUAUAGUUGAGGUAGGCGGAAUAUGACAUGUAGCGGUGAAAUGCUUAGAUAUGUCAUAGAACACCGAUUGCGAAGGCAGCUUGCUAAACUAUUAUUGACGCUGAGGCACGAAAGCGUGGGUAG